RNAcentral lists this ribosomal RNA (460 nucleotides) under uncultured bacterium. RNAcentral's name for it is "partial 16S ribosomal RNA". It matches the Rfam family "Bacterial small subunit ribosomal RNA", at positions 338 to 795 of the family's 1533-position model. The record is from RNAcentral.
CCUACGUGAGGCAGCAGUGAGGAAUAUUGGUCAAUGGGCUUACGCCUGAACCAGCCAAGUCGCGUGAGGGAAGACUGCCCUAUGGGUUGUAAACCUCUUUUGUCAGGGAGCAAUUGGCGCUACGUGUAGCGUUAUCGAGAGUACCUGAAGAAAAAGCAUCGGCUAACUCCGUGCCAGAAGCCGCGGUAAUACGUAGUAUUCGCGCGUUAUCCGGAUUGAUUGGUUUUAAAGGGUCCGUAGGCGGACUGCCAAGUCAGCGGUAAAAUCGCGGGGCUCAACCUCGCUCCGCCGUUGAAACUGGCGUUCUUGAGUGGGCGAGAAGUAUGCGGAAUGCGUGGUGUAGCGGUGAAAUGCAUAGAUAUCACGCAGAACUCCGAUUGCGAAGGCAGCAUACCGGCGCCCAACUGACGCUGAAGCACGAAAGCGUGGGUAUCGAACAGGAUUAGAUACCCGUGUAGUC